CGAUUAAACUUUCCUUCGGGAAAGAUAUAAAGUGGCGCACGGGUGAGUAACACGUAGGUAAUCUACCUUUGAGUGGGGAAUAACAAUCGGAAACGAUUGCUAAUACCGCAUAAUGCAGCGGCACCGCAAGGUGACAGUUGUUAAAGGAGCAAUCCGCUUAAAGAGGAGCCUGCGGCAGAUUAGCUAGUUGGUAAGGUAAUGGCUUACCAAGGCUACGAUCUGUAACCGACCUGAGAGGGUGGUCGGUCACACUGACACUGAAUAACGGGUCAGACUCCUACGGGAGGCAGCAGUCGGGAAUUUUGGGCAAUGGGCGAAAGCCUGACCCAGCAACGCCGCGUGAAGGAUGAAGUAUUUCGGUAUGUAAACUUCGAAAGAAUAGGAAGAAUAAAUGACGGUACUAUUUAUAAGGUCCGGCUAACUACGUGCCAGCAGCCGCGGUAAUACGUAGGGACCAAGCGUUGUUCGGAUUUACUGGGCGUAAAGGGCGCGUAGGCGGCAGUUCAAGUCAGUUGUGAAAUCUCCGAGCUUAACUCGGAACGGUCAACUGAUACUGUUUUGCUAGAGUGCAGAAGGGGCAAUCGGAAUUCUUGGUGUAGCGGUGAAAUGCGUAGAUAUCAAGAGGAACACCUGAGGUGAAGACGGGUUGCUGGGCUGACACUGACGCUGAGGCGCG
RNAcentral lists this ribosomal RNA (676 nucleotides) under uncultured bacterium. RNAcentral's name for it is "bacterial SSU rRNA". It matches the Rfam family "Bacterial small subunit ribosomal RNA", at positions 67 to 755 of the family's 1533-position model. The record is from RNAcentral.